AUACGUAGGUGACAAGCGUUAUCCGGAUUUACUGGGCGUAAAGGGCGUGUAGGCGGUCUUGCAAGUCAGAAGUGAAAUUCCUGAGCUCAACUCGGGCGCUGCUUCUGAAACUGCAGGACUUGAGUGCUGGAGGGGAUAGCGGAAUUCCUAGUGGAGCGGUAAAAUGCGCAGAUAUUAGGAAGAACACCGGUGGCGAAGGCGUGUAUCUGGACAGUAACUGCCGCUGAGGCGCGAAAGCGUGGGGAGCAAACAGGAUGAGGUACCCUGGUAGUCCACGCCGUAAACGAUGAUUACUAGGUGUGGGGGGACUGACCCCUUCCGUGCCGCAGUUAACACAAUAAGUAAUCCACCUGGGGAGUACGGCCGCAAGGUUGAAACUCAAAUGAAUUGGCGGGG
This 396-nucleotide ribosomal RNA is filed under the name uncultured bacterium. RNAcentral describes it as "partial 16S ribosomal RNA". It matches the Rfam family "Bacterial small subunit ribosomal RNA", at positions 523 to 918 of the family's 1533-position model. The record is from RNAcentral.